Molecule: ribosomal RNA, 436 nt
Filed under: Appasus japonicus
Lineage: Eukaryota; Metazoa; Arthropoda; Insecta; Hemiptera; Belostomatidae
Description: partial 16S ribosomal RNA
Source: RNAcentral
GUCCUUUUGAUUUUUAUAUAAGGUCUGACCUGCCCUAUGAGUAUUUAAAUGGCCGCGGUAUACUAACCGUGCAAAGGUAGCAUAGUCAUUUGUCUCUUAAUUGGAGGCUUGAAUGAAGGGUUGGACGAGAUAUAAGCUUUCUUUGUUAUAUUUUAUUGAAUUUGACUUUUGAGUUAAAAGGCUUAAAUUUUUUUAUAGGACGAGAAGACCCUAUAGAAUUUUAUAUAUUUGUAUAAUUGAUUUAUUUAUUUAUUAUUUAAUUUCUUGUUUAAAUAUAUUUUGUUGGGGCGAUGGGAAGAUUUUAAUAACUCUUUUUUGUUUUGAUCAUUGAUUUAUGUUUUAUUCUGAUCCUUUUUUAGAGAUUAUAAGAUUAAAUUACCUUAGGGAUAACAGCGUAAUUCUUUUGGAGAGUUCUUAUCGAUAAAAGAGUUUGCGA